GGUUCAAUGAUAGCUAUCACGCUUGAUGGGAAGUUCCUUGCCACCACCUACACCAGGGGCACGCUUAUUCGUGUUUUUUAUAUGCCGAGUGGGGCCGAAUGGGGCUAUGCUUCAAGAAACUUGGAUUUCUUGUUUCAUAUGUUUUUUCUUGCUCGGCACUGCAAGCUUCUAGAGGAGAAAUCGUUUCGGGGGAGAACUGCUGAUUUAUUUUACAUACUCUUAUUUGGUGCCACUUGACUGGAAUUGUUCUUCUUGGGGGGAUGAUAUAUGAUGGUUUACGUAUGGAGCAAACAAAAUCCCUUUACUCAUAUGAGCUUCCUUGGCCUCUUUACUUUCACUGCUGCCUACCUUCCAUGGGUUUGAUGGAGCUGCACCCGAGCUCCAAAAGGGAAUCAGAGGUGGUCAUGUAGCCGGCAGCAAAUACAUUCCUUUUCCCCAACAAAUACAUUCAAUUGUAUGUUAUCCUUUCCUCGGGUCAUCUUUAAAUAUAUUUGUCAACUUUGACUGUUACACUGUUGGAUAGAAUAAUGAAAAGGAAAAAAAGUAAAACUUGAUUAACCAUCUUACUUUUGACAUGGAAGGUUGAGGAACAUGUUAGAUCAUUUGAAUUGAUGAUGUUUGGAAUAUCAGAUUGGCCCUAUUCCUGUUGAAGAUGAAAAAGAUGAGAGAUUCUUUGAGCAAGAUGUAAAAGCAAAAAGAGAUAGACAUAGAGUACAGCAUGUGUGUGUGAAUCAUAGCAUGAGGUACGACUUUAUUUAGAUGUUAUAAAAACUAGUAUAAAGAAUCUAGAUAUGUCUGAAGGUAGUAGCAUAAUAUAGCUUGGCUGAUGGCUAAUUAAUGAGUCAGUAUCUUAAAGCUGUGUUAAAAAUAAAAGGAUUGGAAACUUGGUAGUUAGAUUAUAAUGAAAUUAAGGAAAGAUUGACAAGGGAAUAAAUUAAAAAAAAAAGCAUCAAAAAAGCUGCAUAAUAUAUAUUAUAGUUAUAAAGGCCCAAUGCACUGAUGUUUAACUAUAUCUAUGUAUAAUUAAUAUUAGAAAAAAUUAGUUAAGAAAUUUAAAAUUAUUAAAAUAUUUAUUUCAUAAAAGUAACCCUUCCGUAUAUGUAAGAAGAUCCACUACAAGAAAACCUGGAUACGGAGGCGAUGUCUUGAUGGCCGUUUUAAAAACCAACCCUAUAUUUAGCAAUUAACAUAUCCCUGAGCUGCAUAAAGUCUUUUUGUUUUCUCUCUCGACGCAUUUUAUUAUUAUUAUUGGUUUUAGUUCUAGUUACCUUUCUUGACUUCACAUAGUGCGAGUCCUAAAGGCUCUCAAUUUUUAUUUUCUCUGAUGCUGUUGGUGCCUUGAAUGGUAGAAUCCACGUGGGAUUCUUAAGCGGAGGUGCUAAGAGGAUGUGGGUGAGGAACUCUUUGCAUAUUUUGGAAAUUCCUCAUGCCCAAGAUUAAUUGUUGUUAGAUGGUUCACAGACAUUGUUACCCCUGUUAGAGAAAGUCUAAUGUUGCAGUUUAUGAUGGAUUUUGGACUGAAUGGGGAGCACAAUCUGAUACCUCUGUUGAAAGUUCUUCCUAAUGAGACAAUCUAGUGAGAUAGAUUAUCAUGGCACCAAAAAAAUAUUUGCAAGAGAAGGGGUUGUAUCUUUUUUUUUUUAAAAAAAAAAAUAGGCUGUAUCUUAUUUUUGUA
Molecule: long non-coding RNA, 1675 nt
Organism: Gastrolobium bilobum
Lineage: Eukaryota; Viridiplantae; Streptophyta; Magnoliopsida; Fabales; Fabaceae
Exons: 6
Source: RefSeq, a predicted model, not a curated record